RNAcentral lists this ribosomal RNA (373 nucleotides) under uncultured bacterium. RNAcentral describes it as "bacterial SSU rRNA". It matches the Rfam family "Bacterial small subunit ribosomal RNA", at positions 527 to 898 of the family's 1533-position model. The record is from RNAcentral.
AGAGGUGGCAAGCGUUGUUCGGAAUUACUGGGCGUAAAGGGCGCGUAGGCGGCCUUCUAAGUCAGACGUGAAAUCCCCCGGCUUAACCUGGGAACUGCGUCUGAUACUGGAAGGCUUGAGUGCGGGAGAGGGAUGUGGAAUUCCAGGUGUAGCGGUGAAAUGCGUAGAUAUCUGGAGGAACACCGGUGGCGAAGGCGGCAUCCUGGACCGACACUGACGCUGAGGCGCGAAAGCUAGGGUAGCAAACGGGAUUAGAUACCCCGGUAGUCCUAGCCCUAAACGAUGAGUGCUUGGUGUGGCGGGUAUCGAUCCCUGCCGUGCCGAAGCUAACGCAUUAAGCACUCCGCCUGGGGAGUACGGUCGCAAGGCUGAA